GUAGUGGCAAGCGUUGUCCGGAUUUAUUGGGUUUAAAGGGUGCGUAGGCGGUUUCUAAGUCAGCAGUGAAAUACGGCAGCUCAACUGUCGAGGUGCUGUUGAUACUGGGGGAACUUGAGUACUGAUGAGGUAGGCGGAAUGGACGGUGUAGCGGUGAAAUGCUUAGAGAUCGUCCAGAACACCGAUAGCGAAGGCAGCUUACUAAGGAGUAACUGACGCUGAGGCACGAAAGUGUGGGGGAUCAAACAGGAUUAGAUACCCUGGUAGUCCACACUGUAAACGAUGAUUACUCGAUGUGUGCGAUACACGGCACGCGUCUUAGCAAAAGCGAUAAGUAAUCCACCUGGGGAGUACGCCGGCAACGGUG
This 367-nucleotide ribosomal RNA is filed under the name uncultured organism. Its description in RNAcentral is "bacterial SSU rRNA". It matches the Rfam family "Bacterial small subunit ribosomal RNA", at positions 528 to 896 of the family's 1533-position model. The record is from RNAcentral.